UACAGGGGUCCCAAGCGUUGUUCGGAUUCACUGGGCGUAAAGGGUGCGUAGGUGGUGAGGUAAGUCGGAUGUGAAAGCUCGGAGCUCAACUCCGAAAUGGCAUUGGAAACUACCUUGCUCGAGGGUUGGAGGGGGGACUGGAAUGCUUGGUGUAGCAGUGAAAUGCGUAGAUAUCAAGCGGAACACCAGUGGCGAAGGCGAGUCCCUGGACAACUCCUGACACUGAGGCACGAAAGCUAGGGGAGCAAACAGG
This 253-nucleotide ribosomal RNA is filed under the name uncultured bacterium. RNAcentral describes it as "partial 16S ribosomal RNA". It matches the Rfam family "Bacterial small subunit ribosomal RNA", at positions 524 to 776 of the family's 1533-position model. The record is from RNAcentral.